This 253-nucleotide ribosomal RNA is filed under the name uncultured bacterium. RNAcentral's name for it is "partial 16S ribosomal RNA". It matches the Rfam family "Bacterial small subunit ribosomal RNA", at positions 524 to 776 of the family's 1533-position model. The record is from RNAcentral.
UACGUAGGGCGCAAGCGUUGUCCGGAAUUAUUGGGCGUAAAGCGUGCGCAGGCGGUUCGCUGUGUCCUGUGUGAAAGCCCCGGGCUUAACCUGGGAAUGGCAUGGGAAACUGGCGGGCUGGAGUGUGGCAGAGGGGGGUGGAAUUCCGCGUGUAGCAGUGAAAUGCGUAGAGAUGCGGAGGAACACCGAUGGCGAAGGCAGCCCCCUGGGCUAACACUGACGCUCAGGCACGAAAGCGUGGGGAGCAAACAGG